CAAAGCCUCAGUGUGGUUUCAGCGCUGAGAGAGGGAGGAGCUGCAGAGAACGGGUGCAUUCCCAGCUCCUGACACCAGGGGGCGGGUGAGAGCAUGAACAUCAAGCUACAAAACUUCCAUUCUUGAGGGAUCUGGAAUCAGAGCUUCAUAGAAUUUCACAACAAAUGCAGUUCAUUGCUUGUGUGGCUGUACUGUACAUACCAUAUAUAGAUCUGUUUGGCUUAUGCUCACUGGAUUCAACACCAGUAACUGUGCUGUUGUUUUGUUUGUUGUUUAUUAUUUUAAUGAUUAUUAAAUUAUGUGAAUGGCUUCAUAA
This is a long non-coding RNA of Anguilla rostrata (American eel), 316 nucleotides long. RefSeq lists it as uncharacterized. The transcript has 2 exons. The record is from RefSeq and is a predicted model, not a curated record. Lineage: Eukaryota; Metazoa; Chordata; Actinopteri; Anguilliformes; Anguillidae.